CGCCUCGCCUCCCUGGCGCAGCCUCGUUGCCCCGUGAACCGCCCCGCGCCGUCCAUCGCCAUGGCCUCGCCUCGAGCGGUCGUCGCCAGCGUCUCGCCGUCACCAGAUCCGGCAGGCGUCGCCCUGGUUCCGCCUCUCCCGGACCUCCCCGCCGCCCUGCUCAUGCCGGAGUGCUGCGUGUAGAUCGCGUCGUCUCCUCCAGAUCCGGUCGCACCGCCGCCGUACUUCAUCUUCUCCACCUCCGGUGAAGGCCGCCGCCGUCUCGAUCUCUUUCUCCGGUGACGGCAAACUUAACGGUGCUGACUUUUCCGUCCUGACAUGUGGGCCAACCCUGUCAUAAUGAGUUUAAACGAGCCAAAUGAGGCGUUUUGCAGACUUGAUUGUUUUUAGUCACAGAUUAGCAAAAAAAAAUUGAUAGUUUUUGGCGCAAAAACGAAUUGUGAUAGUUCCUGGGCACGUUGGCGUGAAUUGUAGUAGUUUUUGAUUAAAUACUCCUCAUAUUACCUUGAUGAAGGUAUUGUUUCGAGAGCUCGGUCUUUUUAAGGGAGAAAACCUAAGAUCUUGGAUCGGACGACGAUGACGCUUGUGCACCGAUUUUUUUUUAAAGGCAUCAUUUUUUAGGAUGGUUUGAGUGUCGCUGCUGCUGAGAAGAGUUGUUCACUGUGACGAGUAGUUGAAAAUGCUCUUACUAUUACAUUUUUCUUUCAAACACGUUACAGUUUACUCCCACCUCAAGUAGUUCCGAGCUACUGUACGUAGUAGCCACACACAUGGAGCGACUCACUCACCUCCAACCAAUUUAACUUUCGUGAAUCUUUGAUCGCUUUUCAUUUGGCCCAGCUCGACGUCACGCGGAUGUCCCCGAUGGAUCUCGCCGGCCACACGCCCCUCGACGACGACGAGAUGAGCAGCGUGUGAUCCUCGUCGCCCCGUCCAUCCAACCGAAGAUAAGACGCCCACUCCCUCCCCUCCACAUGGCACCCACCCUCCAAUCCCUUACUUAUUCCCGCCCCCCUCACUCCUCCAUCCCCUAGCUCCACCUCUCAUCCGCUCCUCAGCCACACCUAGAGCAUCUUAGCUCCAGCUAGCCACCAAUGGCCGCCGCACUGAGCCUCCGCGCGCCCUUCUCCGUGCGCGCUGUGGCGCCACCGGCGCCCCGCGUGGCCCUUGCGCCCGCGGCCCUCAGCCUCGCCGCCGCCAAGCAGGUGCGGGGAGCCAGGCUCCGCGCGCAGGCGACGUACAAGGUGAAGCUGGUGACGCCCGAGGGCGAGGUGGAGCUGGAGGUCCCCGACGACGUCUACAUCCUGGACCAGGCCGAGGAGGAGGGCAUCGACCUGCCCUACUCCUGCCGCGCCGGCUCCUGCUCCUCCUGCGCCGGCAAGUUGGUGUCCGGCGAGAUCGACCAGUCCGACCAGAGCUUCCUCGACGACGACCAGAUGGAGGCAGGGUGGGUGCUCACCUGCCACGCCUACCCCAAGUCCGACAUCGUCAUCGAGACCCACAAGGAGGAGGAGCUCACCGCAUAAGCUGCUUACCCUGCCUCUCUUUGCAACAAGAUCGAGCUGAUAUCAUAUUAUCUCCCAUCAUGCAUGCAUGCAUGGAUAUCGCCAGAUACACCGAUUUGUUUGUGCUCGAAUGAAUUGCUCGAUGCAUGGUUUGCUCCAGUAAUAAUGUCUUCGAAUUACUACCUUUUUGUACCGUAAGAUAUACUACUGUCGUAAUACUAGCGUGUACUUAAUUCAACGUACUGAAAUGAAUCCUGAU
RNAcentral lists this long non-coding RNA (1764 nucleotides) under Hordeum vulgare. Its description in RNAcentral is "long non-coding RNA (HVUL_LNC019543)". Lineage: Eukaryota; Viridiplantae; Streptophyta; Magnoliopsida; Poales; Poaceae. The record is from RNAcentral.